Molecule: long non-coding RNA, 806 nt
Filed under: Olea europaea subsp. europaea
Lineage: Eukaryota; Viridiplantae; Streptophyta; Magnoliopsida; Lamiales; Oleaceae
Source: RNAcentral
UAUGUUUCUUAAUCGAAAUCAUAUCGCCAUAAUCAACCAUAUAGAUUCUGAGGUUAUAAACAUGUCUACAUGCCAUGUCAAAAGAUAUACAACACCAUAGACCAUAAGCUCAAAAUAGCAGCCCACAAAAUAACCCUACAGGUCGUCAUCCAUGCACAUUGAACUCUGGAAUCCCGUAAGAGUUCCACAGCUAACCGUGCUCUCUAUGUAGUUCGAGGCUCACUUACAAUGCAAAAUUACAUAAGCCAAUGCUUACUAAGCAAAAAUCAUUCAUGUCAUGAAUAUGAAUAAUAAUGAUACAUGCCACUAUGCCAUUUACUUUAAACAUCAAGAUAAAAAAGCAUCAUAUUCCAAAAUGUAUCAAGGUCGACUCGAAAUCAUUUCAUUUGAAACCUUUCAUUUCAUUGGGCCCUUGACCCACCUACUACACACCGGAUAGAUCUCUGCACAAUAUCAAUAUCAAUAAUCAAAUGACCAAUAUGAAAUCGUCAUCGAUGAGUGGACCAUCCUUUCGUGAUCACUAGAGGUUCAUCCCCUAACUACCCCUAUGAUCACCCAAGAAGUCUCCCACCCAGCAGCGCCAAUAAUCAUAAUAUCAUAAGGGCACAGUCGAGUGGUCCAUCCUCCCAUGAUCACCAUAGGCUCAUCCCCUGUCUACCUUUGCAAUCACCCAGAAAGUAUCACCCGCGAUGCAAAAUAUAUCACAUAAGCAUGCCUCACAUGCCUCGGUGCCCUAGUAGUGGUCAAUAAAAUAUUUAUAAAGAAAACUCACUUUGAAAUCAUAUUUCGCAUACAGGAUUUUCAAC